UACGUAGGGACCAAGCGUUGUUCGGAUUUACUGGGCGUAAAGGGCGCGUAGGCGGCGCGGUAAGUCACUUGUGAAAUCUCUGAGCUUAACUCAGAACGGCCAAGUGAUACUGCAGUGCUAGGGUGUGGAAGGGGCAAUCGGAAUUCUUGGUGUAGCGGUGAAAUGCGUAGAUAUCAAGAGGAACACCUGAGGUGAAGACGGGUUGCUGGGCCAACACUGACGCUGAGGCGCGAAAGCCAGGGGAGCAAACGGG
RNAcentral lists this ribosomal RNA (253 nucleotides) under uncultured bacterium. RNAcentral describes it as "partial 16S ribosomal RNA". It matches the Rfam family "Bacterial small subunit ribosomal RNA", at positions 524 to 776 of the family's 1533-position model. The record is from RNAcentral.